This 233-nucleotide ribosomal RNA is filed under the name uncultured bacterium. Its description in RNAcentral is "partial 16S ribosomal RNA". It matches the Rfam family "Bacterial small subunit ribosomal RNA", at positions 15 to 235 of the family's 1533-position model. The record is from RNAcentral.
GAUCAUGGCUCAGGAUGAACGCUAGCUACAGGCUUAACACAUGCAAGUCGAGGGGCAGCAUGGUCUUAGCUUGCUAAGGCCGAUGGCGACCGGCGCACGGGUGAGUAACGCGUAUCCAACCUGCCUUACACUCUUGGACAGCCUUCUGAAAGGGAGAUUAAUACAAGAUGUUAUCAUGAGUAAGCUAUUUUCGCAUGAAUUAAAGGUUUACCGGUGUAAGAGUGGGGAUGUCG